GAGUUCAGCAUGGUUAGCCAUCAGCUGAGCAUUAAUCUCGGCUUGUGUUGGUGCUCCAUUUAGGUCUCCCAUGUUUUCCUGCGACAAGAGAGGAAAGAAAAGGUGAUUUGCAAAGAAUCAAAGAAGAAGAAAAGAUAUUUAACUAAAGUAUGCAAUGAAUGUAAAACUUCUUUUUUUUUUGUUAAAAUCGAAAAUUUAAAAAUGGGAAAGUACA
RNAcentral lists this long non-coding RNA (214 nucleotides) under Brassica rapa (field mustard). RNAcentral's name for it is "long non-coding RNA (BRAP_LNC008421)". The record is from RNAcentral. Lineage: Eukaryota; Viridiplantae; Streptophyta; Magnoliopsida; Brassicales; Brassicaceae.